CUGACAUAGUUAUCAGCAAAGGCCACGAGGCGGAACUCAUAGAGCACGUCCUGAGGAUUAGAGGUGGAGGGCCAUGGAGCGGAUCAGGGCCAGCACUGCCCACCACAGUCCCUUUUGUGAAGACUGUAGUCGGGAGGUCUUCCCAUCCAUUUCUGUGCCGUGCAGCGUUGGGGACCUCUUACCUUCCGGUAUAGACAGGACAAUCUCGCUGAAAGGCCCACUGCCCAGCUUAUUCUGAGCAAGGACACUGAACUGGUAUUGAGUAUGGGGUUGCAGUCCUGGCACUAGAAGGUGUGUCGCCCCCAUAGGCACAGCCAGCGAUACCCAGUCAUGGUGGGCUCGGUCAGGACGCUUGGCCCUGGGGAACACAGGGAAAUCUCAUCAGCAAGGAUGAUCGGGAUGGUGUAGGGGUCCAGAGAGCCGGCCUCACCCCUCUGCUCAACCACCAAAGUCUCAGGGACCUCGGCCCCGCAAGCCCCAGCCCGCUCCCAGGCCACUAACCGAGCACAUAGACAUUGGUAGAAGUGACCACAUGGGCCACAGCGUUGCUGGCACUGCAUUCCCACCGUCCAUGGGCCUCCUUGGUCAGGGGUCGGAGGAUGAGGCUGCCGUUGCUGUCCACCUGGGCCUGACCCUGCAGCCCCCGGCCCACCUAGAGAACCACUGGUCAGCCCUGAGGAUACAUGCAGCCACCCCUCACCAAGGGGGCCACUCAUCCCUCCAGCUCAGACUUCAUAACCCCUCACCUGGACUAGCUCAUCUGUUUCACAGCCUUCCAGCUGCCCCUCCUAACUCCGACUCAGAGUCCUGAUACCACAACGCCACUGCCAAAACCCACCGCUGCUAUUGCCUUAAGAUUUUUGUAAACUUUCAACAAAAAUUCACCGAACGCUACACCUGGAAAAGCCCUGAAGACGCUAUGAUGAAAAGACGCAAGGCCUCAAGGAAUUUAUAGUCUCCUCAGACAAACAAAAGAUCUCAAUCAGCUUGGAAUGAGGUCAUAUGAAGUUGGCACGCAGUUUUCCCUUUAGGACCCAACCUGUCUUUCCAGCCUUUUCUACACCCACUCAAGUCCCUACAGGUGCUCACUGCCGCUCUCACCUCACCCGCACGAUUCAUCCUUUCAUCAACCCACGACACCAUACCCUGCCUCUGCGAAGUGGUUUCUGCGUCGAAUGACUGCCCACUCUGCAAGAUCUAACCCCAGAGUCCCAGGAUUUGUGGCUGAUCUCUCCUCAACCAGACCUAGAAGCAAAGCCUUGUUCCUUCUCUGGCCCUGCCAGCAGAGCCUCUGUUCCAGUUCCAUCCUCCAGGCCAUGCUCUAAGGAUGGAUACGUCUUCGUUACACCCCCACAGCCACCACCUAACCACGGUAUCUGGUGACAAAGAGCAGUGGGGGGUCAGCACGAACUGGACACUGGAUCACCCCCCGCAUGCCAAUGGGCAGAGGUGUCUCGGGAGGCAUGGCUGUCACCUGUGCUGGGUCUGGAAGAAUGCAGAGACAAGUUGGAGGACAAGGUUUUGGGAUCCGCACGCGAGACUGUAGGCGGCUGCAAUGUGGCAUGUGUGAGGAGGAACUCAGGCCUUGCCCAGACGAGGGGUCCCUCAGAUACUACUCAUCCGUUCCCUGACUCCGCUACCCAAGAGAGCCCUCGUAAGAACCAGUGUGGUUAGAAUUAUCUCUCUGCUUUGGCAGAUGAAGAAGUGACGUUUCGGAGGCAGACACGUUACGAGGACACCGGGUGCUAGGAAGUCAGAGUCCAACCUCACACAGCUCUUAGCCUCCCCUCCCCAAGGCAAGAGCUAAGCGCCAGUGACCACGUGCCACUUUCUGUGCCCGUCCAGGUGCCGAGAGGUCCUGUCUUCUCACACGGGUGGCCCGGGUCCCCAACCCUCCCACCCAAGAGCACCUAGCACCAGCAGUUGUGUGGUAUGGGUGACGCUGCCCUCGGUGCUGGAGGCUCGGCAGGUGUAGUCUCCAGCGCUGCCUCGCUCCACCCGGCGGAUCCAGAGCGUCCCGUUCUGCACCUAAGUUAAGGAGUCUUUAAGAAAAGGGCCCUUCCUGUUUGGGCAGCCUCAGACCCUGCACUUCCAGGGUUGGCCAGCAGAGGGAGGCAGCACCCCAGGCUCAGGGAAGCCCAGGGAAAGCCCCUCCCCCGACCCAUCUCCCCGCGGAGCGCUUCUGCUCCCCUCUCCUGCCCUCUCAAUUCUGCCCGCCCACUCCAGGGGGGGCCCAACUCACUUGCACCUGACCCUGGCCCUUGCCAAGGUCCUGUCCUCGGAAUUUCCAAGUCACAUAAGGCUGGGGGCUGCCCCGGGCCACACAGCGCAAGGUAACAGCCUCCAGUUCCUUCACUUCCAGGACUAAGGGAGGGGUCUCCAGGAGCUGAGGGGGCGCUGUGAGGGAAAGAGGCCUCAGGGGCUGCCAGAAAGGCGAUCAGCCCACAAAGCAGUGUUCAAGAGCCAGGGAGACCUCAUCUCCCAGCUGCAGCCUGCCCAGUGACGAGGAAGAAACAAGGUCCCGGAUGGAAAGUGCUAUGCAUGCACGGGUGAGCUGCAUCACUCAGGACCCAAUACACCAGGAGUGGAAGUUCCUGACUCGGAGCCUAGAGGCCGACUGGAUUUUAUUUGAAGAACUCAGAGGGUGGGAGGAAGGGCAGGGGUAGGAGGCAAACACUAGAUGAGCAAACCUAGUGAGCAGAUGCCGGGAUGGGGAGGGCAUCAGCGCUGCACUGGGAUACAAAUGCAGCUCCCUUCUCUCCUUCACUACCAGGGCUCCCGUCAUUCCCCUCCCCCUCUCCCC
Peromyscus maniculatus bairdii (prairie deer mouse) is the source of this 2803-nucleotide non-coding RNA. NCBI's taxonomy places the organism in Eukaryota, Metazoa, Chordata, Mammalia, Rodentia, Cricetidae. The record is from RefSeq and is a predicted model, not a curated record.